UCAGUACUCCCUCCGUUCCAAAUUACUCGUCGCAGAAAUGGAUGUAUCUAGAACUAAAAUACAUCUAGAUACAUCCAUACCUACGACAAGUAAUUUGGAACGGAGGGAGUAGAUA
Molecule: non-coding RNA, 115 nt
Organism: Triticum aestivum (bread wheat)
Lineage: Eukaryota; Viridiplantae; Streptophyta; Magnoliopsida; Poales; Poaceae
Source: Rfam